This 801-nucleotide ribosomal RNA is filed under the name uncultured bacterium. Its description in RNAcentral is "bacterial SSU rRNA". It matches the Rfam family "Bacterial small subunit ribosomal RNA", at positions 69 to 866 of the family's 1533-position model. The record is from RNAcentral.
GCAGCACGGGGGCAACCCUGGUGGCGAGUGGCGAACGGGUGAGUAAUAUAUCGGAACGUACCCGGAAAUGGGGGAUAACGCAGCGAAAGUUGCGCUAAUACCGCAUAUGCCCUGAGGGGGAAAGCGGGGGAUCCGCAAGGACCUCGCGUUUUCGGAGCGGCCGAUAUCGGAUUAGCUAGUAGGUGGGGUAAAGGCCUACCUAGGCGACGAUCCGUAGCUGGUCUGAGAGGACGACCAGCCACACUGGAACUGAGACACGGUCCAGACUCCUACGGGAGGCAGCAGUGGGGAAUUUUGGACAAUGGGCGAAAGCCUGAUCCAGCCAUGCCGCGUGAGUGAAGAAGGCCUUCGGGUUGUAAAGCUCUUUCAGCCGGAAAGAAAGCGCAUGAGUGAAUAACCUGUGUGGAUGACGGUACCGGAAGAAGAAGCACCGGCUAACCACGUGCCAGCAGCCGCGGUAAUACGUAGGGUGCGAGCGUUAAUCGGAAUUACUGGGCGUAAAGCGUGCGCAGGCGGUUUUGUAAGACAGAUGUGAAAUCCCCGGGCUUAACCUGGGAACUGCAUUUGUGACUGCAAGGCUAGAGUACGGCAGAGGGGGGUAGAAUUCCACGUGUAGCAGUGAAAUGCGUAGAUGUGUGGAGGAAUACCGAUGGCGAAGGCAGCCCCCUGGGUCGAUACUGACGCUCAUGCACGAAGGCGUGGGGAGCAAACAGGAUUAGAUACCCUGGUAGUCCACGCUGUAAACGAUGAUUACUCGUUGUUGGCGAUAUAUUGUCAGCGACUGAGCGAAAGCAUUAAGUA